This 579-nucleotide ribosomal RNA is filed under the name uncultured bacterium. Its description in RNAcentral is "bacterial SSU rRNA". It matches the Rfam family "Bacterial small subunit ribosomal RNA", at positions 36 to 635 of the family's 1533-position model. The record is from RNAcentral.
UUGGCCCGCGUGGAUUAGGCUUGCAAGUCGAGCGUACCCAGCAAUGGGGAAGCGGCAAACGGGGUAGUAAUGCGUCGGUACGUGCCCUCGGGACGAGGAUAGCCACGGGAAACUGUGGGUAAUACUCGAUGAUCUCGCGAGAGCAAAGGUGUGACUCCGCCGGAGGAGCGGCUGACGUGGUAUUAGGUAGUUGGUAGGGUAAUGGCCUACCAAGCCUGGGAUGCCUAGGGGGUGUGAGAGCAUGGCCCCCACCAUUGGGACUGAGAAACUGCCCAGACACCUACGGGUGGCUGCAGUCGAGGAUCUUCGGCAAUGGGCGCAAGCCUGACCGAGCGACGCCGCGUGCGGGAUGAAGGCCUUCGGGUUGUAAACCGCUGUCAGGUGGGAUGAAAUCAUGGUGGGUACUCCCAUCAUGUUGACAGAGCCCCAGAGGAAGCGCGGGCUAAGUUCGUGCCAGCAGCCGCGGUAAUACGAACUGCGCGAACGUUAUUCGGAAUCACUGGGCUUACAGGGUGCGUAGGUGGCAGAGAAAGUAGGGUGUGAAAUGCCUUGGCUCAACCAGGCACAGCGCUCUAACUC